UUCAUAUGAUGAGGAACCAGAUAGGGACAACAGAUAAUUAAAAUUAAUUGCUGAGAAAAGUCUUUUUUAAGUCCAGUUUUAGUAGAGCUUAGGACGCUUUCCCUGAUC
Molecule: small nucleolar RNA, 108 nt
Filed under: Kazachstania africana CBS 2517
Lineage: Eukaryota; Fungi; Ascomycota; Saccharomycetes; Saccharomycetales; Saccharomycetaceae
Description: Small nucleolar RNA snR64
Rfam family: Small nucleolar RNA snR64
About the family: snR64 is a member of the C/D class of snoRNA which contain the C (UGAUGA) and D (CUGA) box motifs.
Source: Rfam by way of RNAcentral